UACGAAGGGGGCUAGCGUUGUUCGGAAUUACUGGGCGUAAAGCGCACGUAGGCGGAUUGUUAAGUUAGGGGUGAAAUCCCAGGGCUCAACCCUGGAACUGCCUUUAAUACUGGCGAUCUAGAGUCCGAGAGAGGUGAGUGGAAUUCCGAGUGUAGAGGUGAAAUUCGUAGAUAUUCGGAGGAACACCAGUGGCGAAGGCGGCUCACUGGCUCGGUACUGACGCUGAGGUGCGAAAGCGUGGGGAGCAAACAGGAUUAGAAACCCGUGUAGUCC
Molecule: ribosomal RNA, 273 nt
Filed under: uncultured bacterium
Lineage: Bacteria
Description: partial 16S ribosomal RNA
Rfam family: Bacterial small subunit ribosomal RNA
Source: RNAcentral